CCCAAGGCCCUGCAGUGUCACAGUGGAUCCUUGGUUCCAUGAGCCAGGUGCCACUUCAGAACAGGUAUGAGCCCCUGGAUCUAGAGAGUCAACCGCAUGAUUUAGAAGAAAAUUAUCUGCCCAGUGAGCCUCCGAAAUUAUGAUUCAUGUCUGAGAAGGAUUACCACCUGUAACAUCAAAAAGGAAAGAAGUAUAAUCGUGGUGAGUGACUCCCUACUGAGGGGAACAGAGGGCCCAUAUAUGAACCGGACCCACCCCACAGAGAGGUCUGCUGCCUCCCUGGGGCCUGGGUACAGGAUAUCACUGAGAGACUGCCUGGGCUGAUUCAGCUCUCUGAUUAUUGCCCACUGCUGAUACUCCAGGCUGGCAGUGAUGAGAUUGAAAAGAGGAGUGUCAGGACAAUUAAAAGGGACUUUGGGGCAUUGGGUCAGAUGAUUAAUAGGACAGAGGCACAAGUAGUCUUUUCCUCAGUCCCUUUGGAGGCUAAGAAGAGCAGUGAAAGGAAUAGAAGAGCUCAAAUUAUUAACAAGUGGCUUAAGAGUUGAUGUUGAAUUUUGAAUGCAGAAUUUUGAUUAUGGGGCAACUUUUACUGUACCUGGCCUGCUGCAACCAGAUGGGCUCCAUCUCUCUGUUAAGAAGCAGCAGGUUUUUAGCUAUGAACUGGCAGAACUUGUUGAGAGAGCUUUAAACUAGGUCUGAAGGGGGAAGGGGAUGCAGCUGGGCUGUCUGGAAGCAGGCCCAAUGGCUGAGUGAGCCUGAAUUAGGGGUGAAAUCAGCAGCCCAGCUGAGGUGCAUGGAUACCAGUGCACGCAGCAUGGGUAACAAACAGGAAGAGCUGGAGGCCAUGGCCCAGCAGCAGAGCUGUGGUGUAAUUGCCAUAAUGGAAAUGUGGUGGGAUGACUCACAUGGCUGGAGUGCUGCACUGGAUGGCUAGAAACUGUUCAGAAGAGAUAAAAAAAAAGACAAGAGGUGGAGGAGUGGCCCUUUAUAUUAGGGAGGGCUUUGAUGCUAUGGAUGUUGAAAGUAACGAUGAAGUUGAAUGCCCGUGGGUGAGAAUUAGGGGGAAGGCCAACAAGGCUGACAUCCUACUGGGAGCCUGUUAUCGUCCACCCAGCCUGGAAGAAGAGGGGGACAACUCAUUCUGUAAGCAGCUAGAGAAUGUGUCUGGAUCAUCAGCCCUUGUUCUUGUAGCUGACUUCAAUUUGCCCGACAUUUGCUGGGAACUUAAUACAGAAGAAAAAAGGCAGUCCAGGAAAUUUUUAGAGUGUGUGGAGGACAACUUUUUGUCACAUCUGGUGAGUGAGCCCACCAGGGGAGGUACUGUGUUAGAUCUUGUUGUUUGCAAAUAGAGAUGGGAGAUGUGGUGGUUGGAAGCCACUUGGGGCAGGGUGAUCACGAGAUUAUAAAAUUCUUGAUAUUUGGUGACGUCAGGAGGAACAUUAAUAAGACUUUUAUACUAGACUUUCAGAGGGCAGACUUUGGCCUAUUUAGGAGGCUUAUUCAAAGAGUUCCUUGGGAAGCAGCCCUUAAAUGCAAGGGGGUUCAGAAAAGGUGGAUAUGCUUCAAAACAGAGACCUUGAGGGCACAAGAACAGACUGUCCCUGUGUGCUGAAAGAUGAGGCGACGAGGCAAUCGCCCAGCCGGGAUGGGGAGGGAGGUUUUGGAAGACCUUAAGAAUAAAAAGAGGAUGAAUCAUCUUUGGAAGGAGGGUCAGGUCUCUCAGGAAAUAUAUAAGAGGGCUUCUAGAGCAUAUAGGAAAAAAAAUCAGGGAGGCCAAAGCUCAUUAUGAAUUUAAAAUGGCGACUUCUGUAAAGGAUAAUAAAAAAUGUUUUUACAAGUAUAUUAAUGGUAAAAGGAAGGGUAAGACCAACCUCUGUUCUAUACUGGAUGAGGGAGAGAACUUAGCAACUGCAGAUGAGGAGAGGGCAGAAGUGCUUAACACAGUCUUUGCCUCAGUCUUUGGUGGAAGACGGCUUGUCCCCAGGACAACUGUCCUCCUGUGUUGGUAGAUGGUGCCAGGGAACAGAAUGGUCCCCCCAUUAUCCAAGAGAAGGAAGUCAGAGAACUGCUGAGCUGCUUGGAUGUUCAUAAUCCAUGGAACCAGAUGGGAUCCACCCCUGGGUGAUGAGGGAGCUGGCAGAUGAGCUUGGCAAGCCACCCUCCAUCAUUUACCAACACUCCUGGCUCACUGGGGAGGUUCCAGAUGACUGGAAGCUGCCCAAUGUGACACCCAUUCACAAGAAGAGUGGGAAGGAGGAUCCUGGUAAUUAUAGGCCAGUCAGCCUGACCUCAGCACCUGGUGAGGUGAUGGAACAGUUUGUACUGAGUGUCAUCACCCAGCACUUACAGCAUGGCCAGGGUAUCAGACCCAGCCAGCAGGGGUUCAGGAGGGGUAGGUUGUGUUUGACCAACCUGGUCUCCUUUUAUGACCAGCUGACCCUCCUGGUGGAUGCAGGACAGGCUGUGGAUGUGUCUAUUUGGACUCCAGCAAGGCCUUUGGCACUGUCUCCCACAGCACACUCCUGGAAAAGCUGCAGCCCAGGGCUGGGACAGGAGCACUCUGGGCUGGGUUCAGAACUGGCUGCAUGGCCGGCCCAGAGAGUGCUGGUGAGCGCUGCUGCAUCCAGCUGGCAGCCAGGCACCAGUGCUGUCCCUCAGGGCUCUGUGCUGGGGCCAGGGAUGUUCAAUAUUUUUAUUGAUGACAUGGAUGAGGGGAUUGAGUCUUUCAUUAGUAAAUCUGCAGAUGACACUGGGCUGGGAGCAUGUGUCCAUCUGGUGGAAGGUAGGCGGGCUCUGCAGGCAGAUCUGGAAUGGUUGGGUGAUUGGGCAGAGUCCAAUAAGAUGAAGUUUAAUAACUUCAUGUCCCAAGUCCUGUAUUUUGGUCACAUAACCUCCUGCAAUAUUAUAGGCUGGGGACAGAGUGGCUGGACAGCAGCCAGGCAGAAAGGGACCUGGGGGUACUGCUCGACAGCCAGCUGAACAUGAGCCAGUAGUGUGCCCUGGUGGCCAAGAAGGCCAAUGGCUCCUGGCCUGGAUCAGGAAUGGUGUGGCGAGCAGCAGCAGGGAGGUCAUUCUUCCCCUGUACUCAUUCACUGGUGAUGCUGCAUCUUGAAUGCUGUGUCCAGUUCUGGGCUCCUCAGUUUAGGAAGGACAUUGAGAUGCUUGAGCACUUCCACAGGAGGGCAACAAGGCUGGUGAGGGGCUGGGAACACAAACCCUGUGAGGAACAACUGAGGGAGCUGGGGGUGUUUAGCCUGCAGAAAAGGAGACUCAGAGGUAUCCUAUCAAUCUCAACAACUUCCUGAAAGGUGGUUGUAGUCAUGUGGGGGUUGGUCUCUUUCUCCAGGCAACAAGUGACAGAACCAGAGCACACGGUCUACAGCUAUGCCAAGGAAAAUAUAGGCUAGAUAGUAGGAAAAAGUUUUUCAUGCAAAGAGUGAUAAAGUACAGGAAUGGUCUGCCCGGGGAGGUGGUGGAGUCACCAUCCCAGGAUGUGUUUAAAAAAAGAUUGGAUGUGGCACUCGCUGCCAUGGUUUAUUUGAGGCAUCAAGGAAUGAGUAGGACUCAAUGAUCUUAAAGGUCUCUUCCAACCCUGUGAUUCUGUGAUUUGGUGAUUCUGUAACCAGGGGAGCAUUAUGACACCUCAGGGCCCCAUGGAACCAAGGGAACAUGGAACAGGUCUGGUUGGCUUGGCCUCCCAGGGGCCACCUGACAGGUCCAGCUGAUCUUGGGAUAUCAAGGGCUGCCUCUCAUCAGCUCCUGCAGCACUGGGACUCCAUGAUUUCAUUGCUAUGGAAAAGAACCAUCCAUCUUUUCAGGUGACCAUAGCCAAAAUUGGUACUCUCCCUAAAAAAUUUCCUGUAGGCAAGGGUAUCUCCCAGAACAAAACCUGCCAGCUCUGGCUGGCCUUGGCCUCUGGUGAUCACCUCUCAUCUUCCCCUGAAACACUGCGGCUGUUCCUUCCUUCCGAUGGAAAAGAAUGAGCUUUCAUGCCAAGGGCCGUGGCCAAAAUUAGAAUUUGGCCUCCCAAAUUCCAUAUAUCUAAGGAUUGCUCCCAGACAAAAGCAGCCAGGACAGACAGGCCAGGCAGGUCCUGUCCUCUGGUGAUUUUCUUAGACUCCAAACUGAAUGUUUUCAUUUUAAAACACCUUGGGCGGAGCCCCCAGAGAUCUCCCAAAAAAGGCCUCAGGCCCAUGACCACUCCAUAUGGAGAAAGGAGCUCUGUGCUCUGUGCUGAUGUGGGGGUUUUGCAUCAUGGAAGUGAUGUUCUAAGAGAAGCUGCUAGCAGAUUCCUCUGUGUCUAAUAAAAAAAAAUCAGUAA
Long non-coding RNA from Passer domesticus (house sparrow), 4321 nucleotides. RefSeq lists it as uncharacterized. The transcript is spliced from 2 exons. Lineage: Eukaryota; Metazoa; Chordata; Aves; Passeriformes; Passeridae. The record is from RefSeq and is a predicted model, not a curated record.